Molecule: ribosomal RNA, 1202 nt
Filed under: Escherichia coli
Lineage: Bacteria; Pseudomonadati; Pseudomonadota; Gammaproteobacteria; Enterobacterales; Enterobacteriaceae
Description: partial 23S ribosomal RNA
Rfam family: Bacterial large subunit ribosomal RNA
Source: RNAcentral
GGUUAAGCGACUAAGCGUACACGGUGGAUGCCCUGGCAGUCAGAGGCGAUGAAGGACGUGCUAAUCUGCGAUAAGCGUCGGUAAGGUGAUAUGAACCGUUAUAACCGGCGAUUUCCGAAUGGGGAAACCCAGUGUGUUUCGACACACUAUCAUUAACUGAAUCCAUAGGUUAAUGAGGCGAACCGGGGGAACUGAAACAUCUAAGUACCCCGAGGAAAAGAAAUCAACCGAGAUUCCCCCAGUAGCGGCGAGCGAACGGGGAGCAGCCCAGAGCCUGAAUCAGUGUGUGUGUUAGUGGAAGCGUCUGGAAAGGCGCGCGAUACAGGGUGACAGCCCCGUACACAAAAAUGCACAUGCUGUGAGCUCGAUGAGUAGGGCGGGACACGUGGUAUCCUGUCUGAAUAUGGGGGGACCAUCCUCCAAGGCUAAAUACUCCUGACUGACCGAUAGUGAACCAGUACCGUGAGGGAAAGGCGAAAAGAACCCCGGCGAGGGGAGUGAAAAAGAACCUGAAACCGUGUACGUACAAGCAGUGGGAGCACGCUUAGGCGUGUGACUGCGUACCUUUUGUAUAAUGGGUCAGCGACUUAUAUUCUGUAGCAAGGUUAACCGAAUAGGGGAGCCGAAGGGAAACCGAGUCUUAACUGGGCGUUAAGUUGCAGGGUAUAGACCCGAAACCCGGUGAUCUAGCCAUGGGCAGGUUGAAGGUUGGGUAACACUAACUGGAGGACCGAACCGACUAAUGUUGAAAAAUUAGCGGAUGACUUGUGGCUGGGGGUGAAAGGCCAAUCAAACCGGGAGAUAGCUGGUUCUCCCCGAAAGCUAUUUAGGUAGCGCCUCGUGAAUUCAUCUCCGGGGGUAGAGCACUGUUUCGGCAAGGGGGUCAUCCCGACUUACCAACCCGAUGCAAACUGCGAAUACCGGAGAAUGUUAUCACGGGAGACACACGGCGGGUGCUAACGUCCGUCGUGAAGAGGGAAACAACCCAGACCGCCAGCUAAGGUCCCAAAGUCAUGGUUAAGUGGGAAACGAUGUGGGAAGGCCCAGACAGCCAGGAUGUUGGCUUAGAAGCAGCCAUCAUUUAAAGAAAGCGUAAUAGCUCACUGGUCGAGUCGGCCUGCGCGGAAGAUGUAACGGGGCUAAACCAUGCACCGAAGCUGCGGCAGCGACGCUUAUGCGUUGUUGGGUAGGGGAGCGUUCUG